CAGUAGCCGCGGUAAUACGAAGGGUGCAAGCGUUAAUCGGAAUUACUGGGCGUAAAGCGUGCGUAGGCGGUGAGUUAAGUCUGCUGUGAAAUCCCCGGGCUCAACCUGGGAAUGGCAGUGGAUACUGGCUCGCUAGAGUGUGUCAGAGGAUGGUGGAAUUCCCGGUGUAGCGGCGAAAUGCGUAGAGAUCGGGAGGAACAUCAGUGGCGAAGGCGGCCAUCUGGGACAACACUGACGCUGAGGCACGAAAGCGUGGGGAGCAAACAGGAUUAGAUACCCCCGUAGUCCCUGUCUCUUAUAC
This 301-nucleotide ribosomal RNA is filed under the name uncultured bacterium. RNAcentral's name for it is "partial 16S ribosomal RNA". It matches the Rfam family "Bacterial small subunit ribosomal RNA", at positions 509 to 807 of the family's 1533-position model. The record is from RNAcentral.